RNAcentral lists this ribosomal RNA (253 nucleotides) under uncultured bacterium. RNAcentral describes it as "partial 16S ribosomal RNA". It matches the Rfam family "Bacterial small subunit ribosomal RNA", at positions 524 to 776 of the family's 1533-position model. The record is from RNAcentral.
UACGGGGGGGGCAAGCGUUGUUCGGAAUUACUGGGCGUAAAGGGUUCGUAGGUGGCCUACUAAGUCAGACGUGAAAUCCCUCAGCUUAACUGGGGAACUGCGUCUGAGACUGGAAGGCUCGAGUGCAGGAGAGGAACGCGGAAUUCCAGGUGUAGCGGUGAAAUGCGUAGAUAUCUGGAGGAACACCGGUGGCGAAGGCGGCGUUCUGGACUGCAACUGACGCUGAUGAGCGAAAGCCAGGGGAGCAAACGGG